UACGGAGGAUGCGAGCGUUAUCCGGAUUUAUUGGGUUUAAAGGGUGCGCAGGCGGCGCGUUAAGUCAGCGGUGAAAUGUCCCGGCUCAACCGGGGAGCUGCCGUUGAUACUGGCGUGCUGGAGUGCGGACGGCGCCGGCGGAAUGAGUGGUGUAGCGGUGAAAUGCAUAGAUAUCACUCAGAACACCGAUCGCGAAGGCAGCUGGCGAGGCCGCAACUGACGCUGAGGCACGAAAGCGUGGGGAUCAAAC
RNAcentral lists this ribosomal RNA (250 nucleotides) under uncultured prokaryote. Its description in RNAcentral is "partial 16S ribosomal RNA". It matches the Rfam family "Bacterial small subunit ribosomal RNA", at positions 524 to 773 of the family's 1533-position model. The record is from RNAcentral.